AGCGAACGCUGGCGGCAGGCCUAACACAUGCAAGUCGAACGAACCUUUCUGGGUUAGUGGCGGACGGGUUAGUAACACGUUGGAACGUUCCUUUAGGUUCUGAAUUACUCAGGGAAACUUGUGCUAAUACCGAAUGUGCCCUUCAGUGGUAAGAUUAAUGGCCUUUAGAGCGGCCCGCGUCUGAUUAGCUAGUUGGUUCAGGUACUGUCCCACCAAGGCGACAAUCAGUAGCUGGUCUGAGAGGAUGAUCAGCCACAUUGGGAAUGAGACACGGACCAAGAUACUACGCGAGACAGCAGUGGGGAAUCUUGCGAAAUGGGAGAAAGACUAACGCAGCCAUGCCGCGUGAAUGAUGACGGUCUUAGGAUUGUAAAAUUCUUUCACCGGGGAAGAUAAUGACGGUACCAGGAGAAGAAGCCCCGGCUAACUACGUG
This 434-nucleotide ribosomal RNA is filed under the name uncultured bacterium. Its description in RNAcentral is "partial 16S ribosomal RNA". It matches the Rfam family "Bacterial small subunit ribosomal RNA", at positions 29 to 507 of the family's 1533-position model. The record is from RNAcentral.